This 117-nucleotide ribosomal RNA is filed under the name Diaphorina citri (Asian citrus psyllid). The record is from RNAcentral. Lineage: Eukaryota; Metazoa; Arthropoda; Insecta; Hemiptera; Psyllidae.
ACCAAUGGCGACAGUACGUUGAAUGUACUAGUUUCCAACGGAUCACUGAAGUUAAGCAACGUUGCGCUUGGUUAUUGUCUGGAUGGUGACCACCUGGGGAAUCGCUUGCUGCUGGGU